AUUGAACGCUGGCGGCAGGCCUAACACAUGCAAGUCGAACGGUAGCAGGGAUCCGCUUCCUGAUUCGCUCACGAGUGGCGGACGGGAGAGUAAUGUCUGGGCAACUUCCUGAUGGAUGGGGUUAACUACUGGACACGGUAGCUACUACCGCAUAACGUCGCAAGACCAGAGAGGUGGACAUUCGGGCCUCUUGCCUUCGGCUGUGUCCAGAUGGGAUUAGCUAGUGGGUGGGGUAACGGCUCACCAAGGCGACGAUCUCUAGCUGGUCUGAGAGGAUGACCAGCCACACUGGAACUGAGACACGGUCCAGACUCCUACGGGAGGCAGCAGUGGGGAAUAUUGCACAAUGGGCGCAAGCCUGAUGCAGCCAUGCCGCGUGUAUGAAGAAGGCCUUCGGGUUGUAAAGUACUUUCAGCUGGGAGGAAGGGAGUUAAGUUAAUACCUUGCCGCAUUGACGUUACCCGCAGAAGAAGCACCGGCUAACUCCGUG
Molecule: ribosomal RNA, 490 nt
Filed under: uncultured bacterium
Lineage: Bacteria
Description: partial 16S ribosomal RNA
Rfam family: Bacterial small subunit ribosomal RNA
Source: RNAcentral